RNAcentral lists this unclassified non-coding RNA (407 nucleotides) under plant metagenome. Its description in RNAcentral is "partial contains 5.8S ribosomal RNA, internal transcribed spacer 2, and large subunit ribosomal RNA". It matches the Rfam family "Bacterial small subunit ribosomal RNA", at positions 358 to 777 of the family's 1533-position model. The record is from RNAcentral.
GGAAUAUUGCACAAUGGGCGCAAGCCUGAUGCAGCGACGCCGCGUGGGGGAUGACGGCCUUCGGGUUGUAAACCUCUUUCGCCAGGGAAGAAGCGUAAGUGACGGUACCUGGAGAAGAAGCGCCGGCUAACUACGUGCCAGCAGCCGCGGUAAUACGUAGGGCGCAAGCGUUGUCCGGAAUUAUUGGGCGUAAAGAGCUCGUAGGCGGUUUGUCGCGUCUGGUGUGAAAACCCGAGGCUCAACCUCGGGCCUGCACCGGGUACGGGCAGACUGGAGUGCGGUAGGGGAGACUGGAAUUCCUGGUGUAGCGGUGGAAUGCGCAGAUAUCAGGAGGAACACCGAUGGCGAAGGCAGGUCUCUGGGCCGCAACUGACGCUGAGGAGCGAAAGCAUGGGGAGCGAACAGGA